RNAcentral lists this ribosomal RNA (231 nucleotides) under uncultured bacterium. Its description in RNAcentral is "partial 16S ribosomal RNA". It matches the Rfam family "Bacterial small subunit ribosomal RNA", at positions 99 to 334 of the family's 1533-position model. The record is from RNAcentral.
CGGACGGGUGAGUAAUGUCUGGGAAACUGCCCGAUGGAGGGGGAUAACUACUGGAAACGGUAGCUAAUACCGCAUAACGUCGCAAGACCAAAGAGGGGGACCUUAGGGCCUCUUGCCAUCGGAUGUGCCCAGAUGGGAUUAGCUAGUAGGUGGGUAAUGGCUCACCUAGGCGACGAUCCCUAGCUGGUCUGAGAGGAUGACCAGCCACACUGGAACUGAGACACGGUCCAG